UCAUAAUCAAAACGAAUCGGUGUAGCGUUUCGCUGCUUAAAAGGGGAACUUGGUGUAAAUCCAAAGACGGUCCCGCCACUGUGACGUACAUUGUACGAAGUCAGAUUGCCUGCCGAAUCGUUCUGCUUAGC
RNAcentral lists this non-coding RNA (131 nucleotides) under Shouchella lehensis G1. The record is from RNAcentral. Lineage: Bacteria; Bacillati; Bacillota; Bacilli; Caryophanales; Bacillaceae.